Molecule: ribosomal RNA, 1472 nt
Filed under: uncultured bacterium
Lineage: Bacteria
Description: 16S ribosomal RNA
Rfam family: Bacterial small subunit ribosomal RNA
Source: RNAcentral
AGUUUGAUCCUGGCUCAGAUUGAACGCUGGCGGCAUGCCUUACACAUGCAAGUCGAACGGCGGCACGGGGGCAACCCUGGUGGCGAGUGGCGAACGGGUGAGUAAUAUAUCGGAACGUGCCAAGUAGUGGGGGAUAACUAGUCGAAAGAUUAGCUAAUACCGCAUACGCUCUACGGAGGAAAGUGGGGGAUCGCAAGACCUCAUGCUAUUUGAGCGGCCGAUAUCUGAUUAGCUAGUUGGUGGGGUAAAAGCCUACCAAGGCGACGAUCAGUAGCUGGUCUGAGAGGACGACCAGCCACACUGGGACUGAGACACGGCCCAGACUCCUACGGGAGGCAGCAGUGGGGAAUUUUGGACAAUGGGGGCAACCCUGAUCCAGCAAUGCCGCGUGAGUGAAGAAGGCCUUCGGGUUGUAAAGCUCUUUUGUCAGGGAAGAAUCGCGCCAAGCUAAUACCUUGGGUGUAAUGACGGUACCUGAAGAAUAAGCACCGGCUAACUACGUGCCAGCAGCCGCGGUAAUACGUAGGGUGCAAGCGUUAAUCGGAAUUACUGGGCGUAAAGCGUGCGCAGGCGGUUGUGCAAGACAGAUGUGAAAUCCCCGGGCUUAACCUGGGAAUUGCAUUUGUGACUGCACGGCUAGAGUGUGUCAGAGGGGGGUAGAAUUCCACGUGUAGCAGUGAAAUGCGUAGAUAUGUGGAGGAAUACCGAUGGCGAAGGCAGCCCCCUGGGAUAACACUGACGCUCAUGCACGAAAGCGUGGGGAGCAAACAGGAUUAGAUACCCUGGUAGUCCACGCCCUAAACGAUGUCUACUAGUUGUCGGGUCUUAAUUGGCUUGGUAACGCAGCUAACGCGUGAAGUAGACCGCCUGGGGAGUACGGUCGCAAGAUUAAAACUCAAAGGAAUUGACGGGGACCCGCACAAGCGGUGGAUGAUGUGGAUUAAUUCGAUGCAACGCGAAAAACCUUACCUACCCUUGACAUGUACGGAACCCUGCUGAAAGGUGGGGGGUGCUCGAAAGAAGAGCCGUAACACCAGGUGCUGCAUGGCUGUCGUCAGCUCGUGUCGUGAGAUGUUGGGUUAAGUCCCGCAACGAGCGCAACCCUUGUCAUUAGUUGCUACGAAAGGGCACUCUAAUGAGACUGCCGGUGACAAACCGGAGGAAGGUGGGGAUGACGUCAAGUCCUCAUGGCCCUUAUGGGUAGGGCUUCACACGUCAUACAAUGGUACAUACAGAGGGCCGCCAACCCGCGAGGGGGAGCUAAUCCCAGAAAGUGUAUCGUAGUCCGGAUUGUAGUCUGCAACUCGACUACAUGAAGUUGGAAUCGCUAGUAAUCGCGGAUCAGCAUGUCGCGGUGAAUACGUUCCCGGGUCUUGUACACACCGCCCGUCACACCAUGGGAGCACUUUCACCAGAAGUAGGUAGCUUAACCGUAAGGAGGGCGCUUACCACGGUGGGAUUCGUGACUGGGG